GCUUCACACAUGCAAGUCGAACGAGGUAGCAAUACCUAGUGGCGGACGGGUGUAGUAACGCGUGGGAAUCUGCCUUUAGAUGGGGGAUAACGGGUCGAAAGACUCGCUAAUACCGCAUAUGACGAAAGUUGAAAGGAGUAAUCCGUCUAAAGAUGAGCCCGCGUCCGAUUAGCUAGUUGGUAGAGUAAAAGCCUACCAAGGCGACGAUCGGUAGCUGGUCUGAGAGGAUGAUCAGCCACAAUGGGACUGAGACACGGCCCAUACUCCUACGGGAGGCAGCAGUGGGAAUUUUACGCAAUGGGCGAAAGCCUGACGUAGCGACACCGCGUGAGCGAAGAAGCCCCUUGGGGUGUAAAGCUCUGUCAGCUGGAACGAAAAAAAUGACGGUACCAGCAGAGGAAGCAUCGGCUAACUACGUG
This 419-nucleotide ribosomal RNA is filed under the name uncultured bacterium. Its description in RNAcentral is "bacterial SSU rRNA". It matches the Rfam family "Bacterial small subunit ribosomal RNA", at positions 46 to 507 of the family's 1533-position model. The record is from RNAcentral.